RNAcentral lists this ribosomal RNA (520 nucleotides) under uncultured Glomus. RNAcentral describes it as "SSU rRNA". It matches the Rfam family "Eukaryotic small subunit ribosomal RNA", at positions 569 to 1093 of the family's 1831-position model. Lineage: Eukaryota; Fungi; Glomeromycota; Glomeromycetes; Glomerales; Glomeraceae. The record is from RNAcentral.
AGCAGCCGCGGUAAUUCCAGCUCCAAUAGCGUAUAUUAAAGUUGUUGCAGUUAAAAAGCUCGUAGUUGAAUUUCGGGAUCAAAUUGUCGGUCGUGCCUCGGUACGCACUGGUAUUAUUGGUUCCUACCUUCUGAAGAACCGCGAUGUCAUUAAUUUGGUGUCGUGGGGAAUCAGGACUGUUACUUUGAAAAAAUUAGAGUGUUUAAAGCAGGCUUACGCUUGAAUACAUUAGCAUGGAAUAAUGAAAUAGGACGUUUGAUUCUAUUUUGUUGGUUUCUAGGAUUGACGUAAUGAUUAAUAGGGAUAGUUGGGGGCAUUAGUAUUCAAUUGUCAGAGGUGAAAUUCUUGGAUUUAUUGAAGACUAACUACUGCGAAAGCAUUUGCCAAGGAUGUUUUCAUUAAUCAAGAACGAAAGUUAGGGGAUCGAAGACGAUCAGAUACCGUCGUAGUCUUAACCAUAAACUAUGCCGACUAGGGAUCGGAUGAUGUAAUUUUUAAUGACUCAUUCGGCGCCUUACGG